UACGAAGGGAGCAAGCGUUGUUCGGAAUUACUGGGCGUAAAGGAUGCGUAGGUGGUUUGUUAAGUUGGAAGUGAAAGCCCCGGGCUUAACCCAGGAAUUGCUUUCAAGACUGGCAGACUAGAGUAUGGAAGAGGUUGGUGGAAUUCCCAGUGUAGAGGUGAAAUUCGUAGAUAUUGGGAAGAACAUCCGUGGCGAAGGCGGCCAACUGGUCCAUUACUGACACUGAGGCAUGACAGCGUGGGGAGCAAACAGGAUUAGAUACCCUGGUAGUCCACGCCGUAAACGAUGAGAGCUAAACGUUGGGAUGUUUACAUCUCAGUGUUGACGCUAACGCAUGAAGCUCUCCGCCUGGGGAGUACGGUCGCAAGAUUAAA
Molecule: ribosomal RNA, 374 nt
Filed under: uncultured bacterium
Lineage: Bacteria
Description: bacterial SSU rRNA
Rfam family: Bacterial small subunit ribosomal RNA
Source: RNAcentral